GUGGGGAAUAUUGGGCAAUGGGGGCAACCCUGACCCAGCGACGCCGCGUGAGGGAAGAAGGCCUUAGGGUCGUAAACCUCUGUUGUGUGGGAAGAAGGAAGUGACGGUACCACACGAGGAAGUCCCGGCUAACUACGUGCCAGCAGCCGCGGUAAUACGUAGGGGACGAGCGUUGUCCGGAAUUACUGGGCGUAAAGGGCGCGUAGGCGGUCAUUUAAGUCAGCUGUGAAAUGGUUUGGCUUAACCGGAUCAUGCGGUUGAAACUGGAUGACUGGAGUGCUGGAGAGGCAAGUGGAAUUCCCAGUGUAGCGGUGAAAUGCGUAGAUAUUGGGAAGAACACCGGUGGCGAAGGCGACUUGCUGGCCAGCAACUGACGCUGAGGCGCGAAAGCCAGGGGAGCGAACGGGAUUAGAUACCCGGGUAGUCC
This 427-nucleotide ribosomal RNA is filed under the name uncultured bacterium. Its description in RNAcentral is "partial 16S ribosomal RNA". It matches the Rfam family "Bacterial small subunit ribosomal RNA", at positions 354 to 796 of the family's 1533-position model. The record is from RNAcentral.